AUGAAGCUGGAUUCGCUAGUAAUCGCGCAUCAGCCACGGCGCGGUGAAUACGUUCCCGGGCCUUGUACACACCGCCCGUCAAGCCAUGGGAGCCGGGGGUGCCUGAAGUUCGUGACCGCAAGGAGCGACCUAGGGCAAAACUGGUGACUGGGGCUAAGUCGUAACAAGGUAGC
This 173-nucleotide ribosomal RNA is filed under the name uncultured bacterium. RNAcentral's name for it is "partial 16S ribosomal RNA". It matches the Rfam family "Bacterial small subunit ribosomal RNA", at positions 1320 to 1500 of the family's 1533-position model. The record is from RNAcentral.